AACUGCUCGGCAAAACGUCGCAACUUCAUAGCAAACUCCUGCAACUUAAUAAAAACAUUUAUAUAGCUUUGUAAAAAGCUGUUAAGAAGUUGCGAAAACCAACGGGAUUGUGAGCGAAAUUUAGCUUUACAUC
Non-coding RNA from Caenorhabditis elegans, 133 nucleotides. The record is from Ensembl. Lineage: Eukaryota; Metazoa; Nematoda; Chromadorea; Rhabditida; Rhabditidae.